UACGGUAACAUCACGUUGAAACACCGGUUCACGUACGAUCAUCGAAGUUAAGCAACAUCGAGCCUGGUCAGUACCUAGAUGGGUAAGCGCUGGGAAAAUACCAGGUGCUGUAA
Non-coding RNA from Acanthosepion pharaonis, 113 nucleotides. The record is from the annotation of a GenBank genome assembly. Lineage: Eukaryota; Metazoa; Mollusca; Cephalopoda; Sepiida; Sepiidae.